GAACAAGUGGGGAGAAAUCUUAACAUCAUGCACAAGGGAAACGGGUCCCAGUAACAUCUUUAAUGUUAUGGGCCUUAGUCAGGGCUGCUUUGUCCCCACUCUACACAGAAGAGCCUAAAAAGGGAAGGGAGGAAGAACCAUCAUCUACCUUACCGCCUCCUCCUCCCUCAGCCCUGCCGUUACCAGGUAAAGGCCCACAGAGGAGACAAAUAUUUUCCCUGAGCCCUCUCUCCCAAUGUAUUGGAAAAAAUACAAGGGAUACACUACUGUUAUCCUGUCUUAGGCAAGUGGAAUUAGAAGGGAGCUCUUAACUUGCCCGGUGAUGCAAGAUCAACAAGGCAAUCAGUAAGAAAUGUACAAACAUUAAGAAGAGCCUAUUCAGAAAAGACAGCCUUCUAGUCAUCUUAUAAAGGCAAGAAAAACUGGUAUUUUGAAAUAAAAUAAUUUCAAAAAGUUCUGUACCCCCUGGGUAUUCUGCUGUAAUAAGGAUGAAAUCCCAUAAGUCAUUUUUUUCUCGGGAUUAUGAAGUUCACUGCACACAACCAGCCUUAUUUUAUAUCUCUUUCUUUUAUUUCAGCCAUCUGGGGACUGAGCAGAAGUCAUGGUCAGAGGGGAACAUAUGUAUUGCUUUAAUGAUGGGGGCAGAGAACAAACAGGAAGAAGUGGGAAAUGAAAAUUGCUUUAUUUCUUAGAUUCUGACUAGAAAGGCAACCUAAAUGGGAAUCAUAACA
This 731-nucleotide non-coding RNA is filed under the name Pongo abelii (Sumatran orangutan). The record is from RNAcentral. Lineage: Eukaryota; Metazoa; Chordata; Mammalia; Primates; Hominidae.